GAUGAACGCUGGCGGCGUGCCUAAUACAUGCAAGUCGAGCGAACGGACGCGAAGUUUGCUUCUUUGAUGUUAGCGGCGGACGGGUGAGUAACACGUGGAUCACCUCCCUAUAAGACUGGGAUACCUUCGGGACACCGGAGCUAAUACCGGAUAAUAUUUUGAACCGCAUGGUUCAAAAGUGAAAGACGGUCUUGCUGUCACUUAUAGAUGGAUCCGCGCUGCAUUAGCUAGUUGGUAAGGUAACGGCUUACCAAGGCAACGAAGCAUGGCCGACCUGAGAGGGUGAUCGGCCGCACUGGAGCGGAGACACGGUCCAUACGCCUACGGGAGGCAGCAGUAGGGAAUCUUCCGCAAUAGUCGAAAGCCUUACGGAGCAACGCCGCGUGUGUUAUGAAGGUCUUCGGAUCGUAAAACUCUGUUAUUAGGUAAGAACAUAUGUGUAAGGAACUGUGCACAUCUUGACGGUACCUAAUCAGAAAGCCACGGCUAACUACGUG
RNAcentral lists this ribosomal RNA (497 nucleotides) under uncultured bacterium. RNAcentral's name for it is "partial 16S ribosomal RNA". It matches the Rfam family "Bacterial small subunit ribosomal RNA", at positions 28 to 507 of the family's 1533-position model. The record is from RNAcentral.